CUGGCUGAGAGCACAGUUUGUGUAAAGGCGGAGAGGGACAGGAGAGCCUGGUGUUCUCAAGAGGUGGUCGAUUGUGUCCCAUGGGAACUGGAUUUGGGGAAGAGGAGUCUGUUGAAUUGAUUCCCUACUCCAUGAGGAUACAGCGAAGAAAGGCAGGAAACCCAGUCUUGCACACAAAGUGUUUUCUUGUAGGUUUCGAUAUUGAACACAUGCAGGCUGGCUCCAGGCAUCUGCCCAACAGAGAUCUCCCCGGAUGUGGGCCUAGAAGACAAUGAUAGAACACUCCAAAGGUCAAGUGUGGCUA
This is a long non-coding RNA of Ailuropoda melanoleuca (giant panda), 304 nucleotides long. RefSeq lists it as uncharacterized. The transcript has 3 exons. The record is from RefSeq and is a predicted model, not a curated record. NCBI's taxonomy places the organism in Eukaryota, Metazoa, Chordata, Mammalia, Carnivora, Ursidae.